This 580-nucleotide ribosomal RNA is filed under the name uncultured bacterium. Its description in RNAcentral is "partial 16S ribosomal RNA". It matches the Rfam family "Bacterial small subunit ribosomal RNA", at positions 355 to 932 of the family's 1533-position model. The record is from RNAcentral.
UGGGGAAUUUUGGACAAUGGGCGAAAGCCUGAUCCAGCAAUGCCGCGUGUGUGAAGAAGGCCUUCGGGUUGUAAAGCACUUUUGUCCGGAAAGAAAUCCUUGGCUCUAAUACAGUCGGGGGAUGACGGUACCGGAAGAAUAAGCACCGGCUAACUACGUGCCAGCAGCCGCGGUAAUACGUAGGGUGCAAGCGUUAAUCGGAAUUACUGGGCGUAAAGCGUGCGCAGGCGGUUUGCUAAGACCGAUGUGAAAUCCCCGGGCUCAACCUGGGAACUGCAUUGGUGACUGGCAGGCUAGAGUAUGGCAGAGGGGGUAGAAUUCCACGUGUAGCAGUGAAAUGCGUAGAGAUGUGGAGGAAUACCGAUGGCGAAGGCAGCCCCCUGGGCCAAUACUGACGCUCAUGCACGAAAGCGUGGGGAGCAAACAGGAUUAGAUACCCUGGUAGUCCCACGCCCUAAAACGAUGUCAACUAGUUGUUGGGGAUUCAUUUCCUUAGUAACGUAGCUAACGCGUGAAGUUGACCGCCUGGGGAGUACGGUCGCAAGAUUAAAACUCAAAUGAAUUGACGGGGUCAUAGCUG